UACGGAAGGCAGCAGUGGGGAAUAUUGCACAAUGGGCGCAAGCCUGAUGCAGCCAUGCCGCGUGUAUGAAGAAGGCCUUCGGGUUGUAAAGUACUUUCAGUCGUGAGGAAGGUGUUAAGGUUAAUAACCUUAGCAAUUGACGUUAGCGACAGAAGAAGCACCGGCUAACUCCGUGCCAGCAGCCGCGGUAAUACGGAGGGUGCGAGCGUUAAUCGGAAUUACUGGGCGUAAAGGGCACGCAGGCGGUUAAUUAAGUUGGAUGUGAAAUCCCCGGGCUUAACCUGGGAAUGGCAUUCAAGACUGGUUAGCUAGAGUCUUGUAGAGGGGGUAGAAUUCCGAUGUGUAGCGGUGAAAUGCGUAGAGAUGUGGAGGAAUACCGGUGGCGAAGGCGGCCCCUGGGACAAAGACUGACGCUCAUGUGCGAAAGCGUGGGGAGCAAACAGGGAUUAGAUACCCUA
This 458-nucleotide ribosomal RNA is filed under the name uncultured bacterium. RNAcentral describes it as "bacterial SSU rRNA". It matches the Rfam family "Bacterial small subunit ribosomal RNA", at positions 340 to 789 of the family's 1533-position model. The record is from RNAcentral.